UAACUCCUGACCUCAAGUGAUCCGCCCACCUCGGCCUCCCAAAGUGCUGGGAUUACAGGCAUGAGCCACCGCUCCGGGCCCUUGCACAUAUUUUUUUAUGAACACACAGGCAGCAGCACUUUGAUUACAGUAACUUACAUGGAAGUUAUUUUAAAAUGGCUUUCCCCUUCUCUUUUUCAUGUAGGCUGCAUUUUUCAUCUGCAGCACGCUUUCUCUCAAGAAUCUCAAGCACACACAAGAAACCAGAGAGUAAAAUCACUGAGGCGUGAACACAUCCAGAGACCAAGGGCGUCACUGGCAGAAAAGCUUUUAGGCGGAUCCACGGCCCGAGAGCCACCCUGCCCAGAGACGCGGUUUCCUAGGAGCAGUUCACACGCGGCUCUGCAGCACCCACAAGCGGGGCCAGGGGCUGGUUUUCAUAGUUCACAGUCUGCAGGGAUCUUAACAAAAACAUGGCCGUGGUAAAAGUGCCUAGACCAGGCUUUCGUCACAACUCAGUGAGUAGGAAGACUAGUUAGGCUGAUGAAAAGCUCUGAUGAUGUGUGAUUAAAAGUAGGAAAACGUGGUUGCCAAAUAAAAUAUUUUACUAUAUAGUCAGGGGGAGAGAUGGGGAUAAAAAAAUGUGGAAACCAUUUAUUUUAAAAUUUUGACUGUUCCUGCAGUGUUUAAAAUAUAGGAGAUAUAUUCUGAUUAUCUUUAGAAAGAAACUGCUCUCAAUCUAUUUGUAUGUCUUCCCUCUGGUUUUAAAAUAUUAAACAAUCAUCUAACUCAAUAUUUAAUUUUACCUCUAGUCAUGUUACUAGGUUAGGAUAAUAAAAAGGACUGUGAACUUCACAUCUGCCAUCUAUAAUAGAUUCUUAUUGUAGCAAUCUUGCACCAAGGGGAUUUCUUUAUUAACUCUGCCAAAUUUUCCAAAAUUACCAAAUGGAGAAAAGAGCUGGUCCCAUCUGUCACCAGGCACAACCAGCGCGAUACCUGACUUUCACCAUGAUGAAUGGAGACAGGAUGGGGUCUGAAUGCUAGUCUUCAAUGCACCAUACAACAGUGCUAGACCCUCAUCAGUAUGAAGGGGAACAAAGCCCUCCUUAAAAGAUUUACUAGAGUUAACACCUGGGGAUCCUCAAGAAAUGAAUGCUAUCAUUGUUCUGCUUCAGAAGGUAGAAAUACAGGGAAUACACUUCAGAUAGGUUAAGAUAAAAAGUUUUGUGUUUAAGGCAGCACCUCAGUUGCCUGGAAAAUUCACUUCUGUAUAAUGCCUAAUUUGUUAAUGAUGCCGUGAAUAGAUGCUUUCUAAUAACUACACAAGUUUGUUUUUAUGAAAAAGUAGAGUAACAUGUCCUCUGAUGUUAGUAGUAGGAGAGUUUGAAUAAAGGACUUUAAACAAAUGAA
Long non-coding RNA from Homo sapiens (human), 1389 nucleotides. RefSeq lists it as uncharacterized. NCBI's taxonomy places the organism in Eukaryota, Metazoa, Chordata, Mammalia, Primates, Hominidae. The record is from RefSeq and is a predicted model, not a curated record. The transcript is spliced from 2 exons.